GUGCUUGCUUUGGCAGCACAUAUACUAAAAUUGGAACGACACAAUGAAGAUUAGCGUGGCCCCUGCACAAGGAUGACACGCAAAUUUGUGAAGCGUUCCAUAUUUAA
This is a small nuclear RNA of Nycticebus coucang (slow loris), 107 nucleotides long. The record is from RefSeq and is a predicted model, not a curated record. NCBI's taxonomy places the organism in Eukaryota, Metazoa, Chordata, Mammalia, Primates, Lorisidae.